AUGGGCACCAGUUUUUCUGUGGGGGACAUGUGUCACAUUUUCUCACUUUGGUUUCACACGAAGCUCUUCCCUGACCGCUCUCUCCCCACCACAACAUUUCAUGGUGUGCUGGCUGCUGCUUCAGCGAACUCCCCUACCAUCUGGCUCCUUGACAGGAAUUCCCCACUGAGCUGCACUCUUCAUAGUUGUGUAAUUUUCCGCAUUUGUGUGGCUGUAACCUCUGACAAGUUUAGGAGUCCAUGUGUGCACGUAGGGAGCUUCUUUAUCUCCACCGGGACCCAACACAGGGUUUCCUUAAAGCGGAGGCAGAAGCUCAGAGUGAACUAUGUUCUACGUUUCGAAAGAAGAAAUGAAUUUGGCAACUGGUACAGUUGCGCCCGCAGGAGGGCGUGA
RNAcentral lists this long non-coding RNA (393 nucleotides) under Vulpes vulpes (red fox). RNAcentral's name for it is "lncRNA (ENSVVUG00000010858.1)". Lineage: Eukaryota; Metazoa; Chordata; Mammalia; Carnivora; Canidae. The record is from RNAcentral.